UGCCUUCGAGGGAUGGUCUAAGUCAGGCCUU
RNAcentral lists this non-coding RNA (31 nucleotides) under Rattus norvegicus (Norway rat). The record is from RNAcentral. Lineage: Eukaryota; Metazoa; Chordata; Mammalia; Rodentia; Muridae.